UACGUAGGGGGCGAGCGUUGUCCGGAAUGACUGGGCGUAAAGGGCGUCUAGGCGGCUUUCUGCGUGGGAGGUUAAAGGCGCCGGCUCAACCGGCGAAGGGCCUUCCAAACGGGGGAGCUUGAGGACAGGAGAGGGAUGCGGAAUUCCCGGUGUAGCGGUGAAAUGCGUAGAGAUCGGGAAGAACACCAGUGGCGAAGGCGGCAUCCUGGCCUGGACCUGACGCUGACGCGCGAAAGCGUGGGGAGCGAACGGG
This 253-nucleotide ribosomal RNA is filed under the name uncultured bacterium. RNAcentral's name for it is "partial 16S ribosomal RNA". It matches the Rfam family "Bacterial small subunit ribosomal RNA", at positions 524 to 776 of the family's 1533-position model. The record is from RNAcentral.